This 256-nucleotide ribosomal RNA is filed under the name uncultured bacterium. RNAcentral describes it as "partial 16S ribosomal RNA". It matches the Rfam family "Bacterial small subunit ribosomal RNA", at positions 526 to 779 of the family's 1533-position model. The record is from RNAcentral.
CGAAGGGUGCAAGCGUUAAUCGGAAUUACUGGGCGUAAAGCGCGCGUAGGUGGUUCGUUAAGUUGGAUGUGAAAGCCCCGGGCUCAACCUGGGAACUGCAUCCAAAAACUGGCGAGCUAGAGUAUGGCAGAGGGUGGUGGAAUUUCCUGUGUAGCGGUGAAAUGCGUAGAUAUAGGAAGGAACACCAGUGGCGAAGGCGACCACCUGGGCUAAUACUGACACUGAGGUGCGAAAGCGUGGGGGAGCAAACAGGAUU